GUGGGUGUAGCUCAGUGGUAGAGCUCAGGAUUGUGGCUCCUGCGGUCGCGGGUUCAAGUCCCGUCAUCCACC
Molecule: transfer RNA, 72 nt
Filed under: Spirochaetia bacterium
Lineage: Bacteria; Pseudomonadati; Spirochaetota; Spirochaetia
Description: tRNA-His
Rfam family: tRNA
About the family: Transfer RNA (tRNA) molecules are approximately 80 nucleotides in length. Their secondary structure includes four short double-helical elements and three loops (D, anti-codon, and T loops).
Source: RNAcentral